Molecule: unclassified non-coding RNA, 199 nt
Filed under: soil metagenome
Description: partial contains 5.8S ribosomal RNA, internal transcribed spacer 2, and large subunit ribosomal RNA
Source: RNAcentral
AACUGAUACUACCUGCGGGAACCUGCGGAAGGAUCAUUACCGAGUUUACAACUCCCAAACCCCAUGUGAACAUACCUGUUUCGUUCCCUCGGCGGUGUCCGGCAACGGCCCGCCAGAGGACCCAACAAACUCUUUUGAAUUUUUCAGUAUCUUCUGAGUGAAAAAAACAAUAAAUCAAAACUUUCAACAACGGAUCUCU